This 303-nucleotide long non-coding RNA is filed under the name Homo sapiens (human). RNAcentral's name for it is "HSALNT0206797". Lineage: Eukaryota; Metazoa; Chordata; Mammalia; Primates; Hominidae. The record is from RNAcentral.
ACUCGUCCUUGGUGUAGAGGGCGAUCAGGAGGAAGAGGGGAAGAGGGGUCCCAGUUGGCCUCCAGGUUUCUGGAAGUACCAAUCCUAGAGUCUUCUUGGUGAAGGGAGUUGGCCAAGGCCAGUUUGAGUUGGACUGUCUGCCACCUGAGCAAGAGAAAUCCCACCUGCCAAGCCUCUCGGCAGACGGUGGUGCAGCCUCCACAGCCUGGUCUUCAGAUUGUAACUCCGGCCCCUGCUCUGAGCUGGACCCCUCUAGGUCAAGUUUGCAAAUCCUGCGAGAGCCCAGGUGGAGCUUCUGACACG